UAGGUAGCUUAACCUUCGGGGGGGCGCUUACCACUUUGUGAUUCAUGACUGGGGUGAAGUCGUAACAAGGUAACCGUAGGGGAACCUGCGGUUGGAUCACCUCCUUACCUUAAAGAAGC
This 119-nucleotide ribosomal RNA is filed under the name Salmonella enterica subsp. enterica serovar Typhi. RNAcentral describes it as "partial 16S ribosomal RNA". The stretch from base 1 to 107 matches the Rfam family "Bacterial small subunit ribosomal RNA", at positions 1427 to 1533 of the family's 1533-position model. The record is from RNAcentral. RNAcentral also lists the same sequence under 2 other names. Lineage: Bacteria; Pseudomonadati; Pseudomonadota; Gammaproteobacteria; Enterobacterales; Enterobacteriaceae.